This 62-nucleotide transfer RNA is filed under the name Cirriformia cf. tentaculata HK-2018. Its description in RNAcentral is "tRNA-Trp". The record is from RNAcentral. Lineage: Eukaryota; Metazoa; Annelida; Polychaeta; Terebellida; Cirratulidae.
AAGAUUUUAAGUUAAAUAAACUCUUGGCCUUCAAAGCCGACAAUGGAAAUAUCCAAAUCUUG